GUAAUCCAGCAACAAAAUCAAACACUCAUGUUCCUAAAAAUGUAAAAUCGUCAAAACGUAAGACUGUUAAUUCACCUGACAGUCCACCAAACAAGAGAAGCAAAUACAGUUCAGGUAAAACUGACAGUGCGACUCAAAAUGAGUCUGAUGAUGACACGGAUCCUGUCAGUGAUCACAGCCGAUUAUCAGAUGAUCAAGACGAUGUUGGAUUUUCACCACCAUUUAAUGAGUCAGGCGAACAUCGAUCACCCCUCAAACCAAUGAAUACAACUCCAAAAUCAUCUUAGAAGAAUUCCCUUUCUCCGAUGCAUCCACCAAAGCGUGUAUUGUUACCACAGCCAAUUACAGGGCAGCAACAACUAGAAAAAAACAAUGAUAAUACCGAUAAUAAUGAAGUUAUUUUGGAGAACGACAAUGAUGACGAUGAUGAAGAUAAAAAAG
This is a long non-coding RNA of Cotesia glomerata, 441 nucleotides long. RefSeq lists it as uncharacterized. The transcript is spliced from 3 exons. The record is from RefSeq and is a predicted model, not a curated record. Lineage: Eukaryota; Metazoa; Arthropoda; Insecta; Hymenoptera; Braconidae.